GUCACGUAAAUCUAAUAUUUACACGUUCGCCCACGCAACUUGCAGCGUACUCCCGUGUUGUAACACAGCCGCCAGUUUUUUCUUUCACUCGCGGAGGACUUUUGACGAGCGAACAAAACAUCAGGGGCCCUCCCUCUCAUCAGGGGCCCUGAAUGCCCCCUGCAUUCAUCCACAUUUGAAAAGCUUCCAUUGGGUGGCUGGGGGUGGGAGACACUGUAGGUAAAGCUGCUUUAAGGACUCCGAACUUCUCUUUGCCGAGUGUCGCCCGCUUAUUGUGGGAGGCUCUCACGAACACGUGGGAGGCUGAGCGGUCGAGGAGAGGGCCGGGCCGGGCGGGCGGCGGAGGGGUUACUCGACGCAAGAGUCAACAGCUGCAUUUCGGAGCCAAAACGCCGGCGACGAAAAAGAAACCCGAGCACGUGCAGGAGAACGGGCAAGCGCAGGAUCUCGAUAGCGUAUGCCACGACAUCGAGGCGAAGAGGGCGACCGCUCACUCACCCUGACGGCGUCGUUUCCACCGCGUAGAAUCACACCGUCCUUCUUCCACGAGACGGUGGGCUCGGGGUGGCCGCGCGGCGGCACGCACUCCAGCAUCGCCGCCUCCCCCGCCGCCGCCACCACGUCGGCCGGCUGCUGCCGGAAGUCGUCGCGCAGCACUGGGGGCACGGGCAUGGGCAAGAAAUAAAAACAUCAGAAUUUGUUUUUUUUUGCAUUGCCACUGUCCAGGGAAAGCACGCGUGUCUCAGGUUUAUCCGAGUGACACGUGAUAUGCAAUGUCUACUGAUGUAUAGCUGCUCACGUGUCAAUUAAACACGGUUCAUAUAUCAACUUACGUAACAUAUGCCAGUUUUCUCUGGGCCCCACAGAGUAAAAUGCAAUCCCAAACUAUAAUUCAGUUCAUAACCCUCUGCUCUAUCCCUCUGCUCUGAAGAAAAACUAUUUCUUUAAACUUCAGAGGGGCUAUGCAUUUUUCUGUUGUAAGGCAAUGCUAAUUAACGUGUUUUAUUUUUAUAUAAAGUACUUUUCCUCAACGUAAUUUUUUACAUAUUAUUAUAAUGCUUGUUUACCCAGGAAAACCUCACUGAGUCUCAAGACUAUUUUUCAGGAGGGUCCUGCCAAGUUUUUGCAGUAAGGGGGGGGGGGUGCGACCUCGCUACAGUAUGUAUAAUGCCAAUUUAAUAAUUUGCAGGAAAUGCUUCAGUACCGGGAAGUUUUUUUUGGCCAAUACCACUUACAAUGUAUGCUUGUUGAUAUUAUUUAGCGGGGGGGGGGGGGGGGAACGAUAUCGCAAUCACUUAAUUAUUUGAGUAAUUAUUGGGCCUUACAAUGUGCAGUAGUGUAUAUUUAUUUAGAUUUUUUUAAUUCUGCAUACCAAUGGACGCACACUCUGCAUGCAUGCAUACACACACAUGAUACUGGAAUCACAUAAAAGCACGUGAGCACACAAUAUAACCCCGAAGCCUCACAUGCUUAUACUUAUGAGCGACAGCAAAAAAUGAUUUUAGAAUAAAACCUCCAAACGAUUUGCAACAGCGUCAUAUAUGUAUACAGUGGUCCCUCGUUUAUCGCGGGGGAUACGUUCUAAAAAUAACCCGCAAUAGACGAAAUCCGCGAAGUAAUCAGCUUUAUUUUUUACAAUUAUUAUACAUGUUUUAAGGCCGUAAAACCCCUAACCACACACUUUUAUACACUUUUCUCAGACAGGCAUUAACAUUUUAUCACAUUUCUCUCUAAUUUAAACACUCUCAAAGUUCAAACUUUCGCAGAUUUAAAAAAAUAAGUACAAUAUUAGUAAAUUAAACCAAAGAUCAAAACCUCUUUUCAAGUCCAAACAUUUUUGUAAAUCUGGCUAGCCGAACGCAUUCUGUACUCCCUUAGCUAAUCAGGACGCAGAACACAUGUGCGGUUCUCCCUUAGCCAAUCAGGACGCCGAACACAAUGCGCGUUCAUACUGUACGCA
Molecule: long non-coding RNA, 1960 nt
Organism: Petromyzon marinus (sea lamprey)
Lineage: Eukaryota; Metazoa; Chordata; Hyperoartia; Petromyzontiformes; Petromyzontidae
Source: RefSeq, a predicted model, not a curated record